UUUAAAAUGUAUGUAUAUGAGUGUGUGUCAAAAAAUAGAAAAAAGUGGAAAAGAAAAGAUAGAGAGAAGCAUAUGCUUAGCUUCCCAGGGACAGAGUUUCAAAUAUUUCUUCAAAAUGGGUGUUUCGAUUCAUCAUAGAGGAAUGGUUCUUCUUCUUGUCAUCUCAAUUUUUCUACUCCUUCAAACGGGUAAGGUCUCAAGUCUAAGGUGGGAGAGAGAUACGAAGCUGCAGCUUCUGUCUGUUCAUCCUUCGCGUGUUCUUGAAGAGUCAUCAUCAUCAAAGCAUGGAAGUAUAGAUACAAAUCGAGACUUGGCGCCUUCUCCUUCCGUUAUGUCUGUUCCAAAUGAAUCUGUAAAAAGAAUGAUUGGAAGAGGAUCCGAUCCUAUACACAACAGAUGCUAAGAUUAUUCUAGAAGGAAGAAACAAUGUUUUGUUUCUGGAAGUAAAUGCUAGCCUAGUCUAUAUUCUGCCUCUGCAGUCUCAGUUACUUCUAAAAAUAUGUUAUCAUUUGUUUCUUAAUCAUUUAAGGGUUUAAGUGUAUAUUGAAUCCUUGUCAUUUAAAUCGUGUUUUUUUUCAUUAUAUAUCGUUUGUUUGAUGAGUUGUACGUUGAAUAUACAAGACUUUGAUUUGUUC
Molecule: long non-coding RNA, 635 nt
Organism: Brassica oleracea var. oleracea
Lineage: Eukaryota; Viridiplantae; Streptophyta; Magnoliopsida; Brassicales; Brassicaceae
Exons: 2
Source: RefSeq, a predicted model, not a curated record